AAGCGGUGGAGCAUGUGGUUUAAUUCGAUGCAACGCGAAGAACCUUACCUGGGCUUGACAUCCCGGGAAUCCCUUGGAAACAAGGGAGUGCCCUUCGGGAACCUGGAGACAGGUGCUGCAUGGCUGUCGUCAGCUCGUGUCGUGAGAUGUAGGGUUAAGUCCCGCAACGAGCGCAACCCUUGUCUUUAAUUGCCAUCAUUGAGUUGGGCACUUUAAAGAGACUGCCGGUGUUAAACCGGAGGAAGGUGGGGAUGACGUCAAGUCCUCAUGGCCUUUAUGCCCAGGGCUACACACGUGCUACAAUGGCCGGUACAGAGGGAAGCGAAGCCGUGAGGCGGAGCAAAUCCCAAAAAGCCGGUCUCAGUUCGGAUUGCAGGCUGCAACCCGCCUGCAUGAAGUCGGAAUCGCUAGUAAUCGCAGGUCAGCAUACUGCGGUGAAUACGUUCCCGGGGCUU
RNAcentral lists this ribosomal RNA (455 nucleotides) under uncultured Syntrophaceae bacterium. RNAcentral's name for it is "bacterial SSU rRNA". It matches the Rfam family "Bacterial small subunit ribosomal RNA", at positions 927 to 1382 of the family's 1533-position model. Lineage: Bacteria; Pseudomonadati; Thermodesulfobacteriota; Syntrophia; Syntrophales; Syntrophaceae. The record is from RNAcentral.